RNAcentral lists this long non-coding RNA (367 nucleotides) under Mytilus galloprovincialis (Mediterranean mussel). The record is from RNAcentral. Lineage: Eukaryota; Metazoa; Mollusca; Bivalvia; Mytilida; Mytilidae.
GGUUGAUGAACAUCGCAAGCCACGAAAAGAACAGUUAGAACGUUCACCAUGGAACACUUGGUUUUUGAACAACUACGACAAAUUGAAAAUGGUUGAUGGCGUACUCUACCGUAUUAUCCACGACAAUGGGGAACAACAUAAACAACUUGUACUACCUGAAGUCUGCAUUUCCAAAGUACUUACAGCAUUACAUGAUGAGAUGGGACAUCAAGGCAGAGACAAAACAGUAUCAUUGGUUAGAGAUCGUUUUGUUUGGUUUGGUAUGAAUCGAGAUGUUGACAACUGGAUAUCAAACUGCGACAGAUGUAUUAGACGAAAGCAACCUGCAAGUCACAGAGCACCACUCAUUAGCAUCGAGACGACACAA